GGGGCCGUAGUCUAGUCUGGGAGGAUGCCGGACAAAUAAUAAUUCCGGACUCGGACUCCGGUGGUCGAGGGUUCAAAUCCCUCCGGCCCCA
RNAcentral lists this transfer RNA (91 nucleotides) under Chloroflexota bacterium. RNAcentral describes it as "Chloroflexi bacterium tRNA-Pro". It matches the Rfam family "tRNA". From Rfam's summary of the family: Transfer RNA (tRNA) molecules are approximately 80 nucleotides in length. The record is from RNAcentral. Lineage: Bacteria; Bacillati; Chloroflexota. RNAcentral also lists the same sequence under 1 other name.